GACGUAGGGCGCGAGCGUUGUCCGGAUUUAUUGGGCGUAAAGAGCUCGUAGGCGGCUUGUCGCGUCGAAUGUGAAAACCCGAGGCUCAACUGCGGGUCUGCAGUCGAUACGGGCAGGCUAGAGUUCGGUAGGGGAGACUGGAAUUCCUGGUGUAGCGGUGAAAUGCGCAGAUAUCAGGAGGAACACCGAUGGCGAAGGCAGGUCUCUGGGCCGAUACUGACGCUGAGGAGCGAAAGCGUGGGGAGCGAACAGG
This 253-nucleotide ribosomal RNA is filed under the name uncultured bacterium. RNAcentral's name for it is "partial 16S ribosomal RNA". It matches the Rfam family "Bacterial small subunit ribosomal RNA", at positions 524 to 776 of the family's 1533-position model. The record is from RNAcentral.